Molecule: ribosomal RNA, 632 nt
Filed under: Tausonia pullulans
Lineage: Eukaryota; Fungi; Basidiomycota; Tremellomycetes; Cystofilobasidiales; Mrakiaceae
Description: eukaryotic LSU rRNA
Rfam family: Eukaryotic large subunit ribosomal RNA
Source: RNAcentral
UAAGCGGAGGAAAAGAAACUAACAAGGAUUCCCCUAGUAACGGCGAGUGAAGCGGGAUGAGCUCAAAUUUAAAAUCUGGCGGUCUCAGAUCGUCCGAGUUGUAGUCUAGAGAAGCGUUUUCCGUGCUGGCCUGUGUACAAGUCCGUUGGAACACGGCGUCAUAGAGGGUGAGAAUCCCGUCCUUGACACAGAUCUCCAGUGCUUUGUGAUGCGCUCUCAAAGAGUCGAGUUGUUUGGGAAUGCAGCUCAAAAUGGGUGGUAAAUUCCAUCUAAAGCUAAAUAUUGGCGAGAAACCGAUAGCGAACAAGUACCGUGAGGGAAAGAUGAAAAGCACUUUGGAAAGAGAGUUAAACAGUACGUGAAAUUGUUGAAAGGGAAACGAUUGAAGUCAGUCAUGCUUUCCGAGACUCAGCCGGUUCUGCCGGUGUACUUCUCGGUUUGCAGGCCAGCAUCAGUUUUGGGCGGUGGAAAAGGUUGGCGGGAAUGUGGCAUCCUCGGAUGUGUUAUAGCCCGCUUUCGAAUACAUCGCCCGGGACUGAGGAACGCAGCACGCCUCUUGUAGGUCGGUCUUCGGACACGUCCGUGCUUAGGAUGCUGGCAUAAUGGCUUUAAACGACCCGUCUUGAAACACG